RNAcentral lists this ribosomal RNA (464 nucleotides) under uncultured bacterium. RNAcentral describes it as "partial 16S ribosomal RNA". It matches the Rfam family "Bacterial small subunit ribosomal RNA", at positions 29 to 507 of the family's 1533-position model. The record is from RNAcentral.
ACGAACGCUGGCGGCGUGCUUAGCACCUGCCAGUCGAACGGUGAACUCCGCUUGCGGGGGGAUCAGUGGCGAACGGGUGAGUAACACGUGGGCAACCUGCCCUCAGCUCUGGGAUAACUCCAAGAAAUUGGGGCUAAUACCGGAUAUGACCGCUGACCGCAUGGUCUGGUGGUGGAAAGAUUUAUCGGCUGGGGAUGGGCCCGCGGCCUAUCAGCUUGUUGGUGGGGUAGUGGCCUACCAAGGCGACGACGGGUAGCCGGCCUGAGAGGGUGACCGGCCACACUGGGACUGAGACACGGCCCAGACUCCUACGGGAGGCAGCAGUGGGGAAUAUUGCGCAAUGGGCGAAAGCCUGACGCAGCGACGCCGCGUGGGGGAUGACGGCCUUCGGGUUGUAAACCUCUUUCAGCAGGGACGAAGCGAAAGUGACGGUACCUGCAGAAGAAGCACCGGCCAACUACGUG